CUGUCCAAGGCAUUAGUUCCUAUCCUCUAUAGUAUGAUAUGCAACGUUCUCCAAAUCAGUAUUGAGGAUUGUACCGGCUGGCUACAAUUUGAUAUGGUAUGACCAAUACAUACCAUAUCAAGCCAAGGUGUACCUAUGAUAAAGAAUCAGGAGAAGAGAAGGGGAUGAAGGAAGACCCUAACCUUGAUCUUAGAAGGAGAACCAGGGGGAGAG
Molecule: long non-coding RNA, 213 nt
Filed under: Elaeis guineensis (African oil palm)
Lineage: Eukaryota; Viridiplantae; Streptophyta; Magnoliopsida; Arecales; Arecaceae
Description: long non-coding RNA (EGUI_LNC081550)
Source: RNAcentral